Molecule: ribosomal RNA, 253 nt
Filed under: uncultured bacterium
Lineage: Bacteria
Description: partial 16S ribosomal RNA
Rfam family: Bacterial small subunit ribosomal RNA
Source: RNAcentral
UACGAAGGGGGCUAACGUUGUUCGGAAUCACUGGGCGUAAAGCGCACGUAGGCGGAUCUUUAAGUCAGAGGUGAAAUCCCAAGGCUCAACCUUGGAACUGCCUUUGAUACUGGGGAUCUUGAGUCCGGGAGAGGUGAGUGGAACUGCGAGUGUAGAGGUGAAAUUCGUAGAUAUUCGCAAGAACACCAGUGGCGAAGGCGGCUCACUGGCCCGGUACUGACGCUGAGGUGCGAAAGCGUGGGGAGCAAACAGG